Molecule: small nuclear RNA, 108 nt
Filed under: Tupaia belangeri (northern tree shrew)
Lineage: Eukaryota; Metazoa; Chordata; Mammalia; Scandentia; Tupaiidae
Source: RNAcentral
GCGCGCUUCGGGAGCCCGUAAUACUAUAAAUUAGUACAAUACAGAAAAAAAUAGUAUAGCCCCUAGGACAAGGACGACACAGGCGUUCAUGAAUAAUUACCAAAUUCA